ACUUGGAGUCUCUGGUAGGGAUCAGAAAAAGCACAGAGCGUGGAGAUGGGAGGGUGCAGUGGAGGACCUGUCUGCCAGUCUGGGGCAUUAGGGCCUCCCCUGGACUUCAGUUUCCCCACCCGCCAUAUCGGUCUCUACCCUGGCUCCUGCUGGGAUUGUUAGGAGCACACACAUGAGGCCAGAGGAACAGGAGAGACUUGGGCCUGUGGCCAGGGCCCAGGGCAGAAGGCCGAUGGCAGCGGGAGCCGGGGAGAGGAGAAGCAGCCAGCACAGAGCCUCCGCGGCAGCCCGGCGUCCGCUGCAGCCUGCAGUGUGUCCCAAUUGCUCCAGCUCACAGGACCCUGAGGACCAUUCAAAGCCCGGUGUUUCUCAGCCGUGCACACUGGACUGAUCAGGGACUUUAAGAACCUGAGGACACCCAGGCCGGUUUCUCAAGCGUCUCUGGGAUGGACCAAGGCUCCCGUAGGCGAUUCUGCUGGACACACACGUAUUAACAGAUACAGACACGGACAGGGUCACCACACAGGAGUGGAGGAGGUCGAACGGUGAGGUUGGCAACAGAGAGCGAUGAACUCCCCCGAAGGCCGGACGCCUCCCAAACUCCAGGGUUAGUUGUCACACUGGGCUACGAUGUAGUGAUGCUGGAUUAAAUAUUCGUUUAGAGUAGAUUCAAGUCCAUUAGAUGUUGGAGGGCAGGUGUAAGGGCUCUGGGUGACAAAUCCAAGUUCAAAGAGCGUAGGGCACCAAGGCAUGGGUCAGAUGGCAAAGCUCCAAAGGGGGCGGCUGGAGAAGUCCGCCUCCUGCUUCCUCUUCCAUCCUUGGGCCCUGCUGACCGGGAGCCCUGGACCAGGCCAAGGAGACCAUCUUUGGAGCUGGCCGACCAUGGUGGGGCUAGUAAGUCACACGCCCUCUCCUCCCCAGGCACACUCCUGCCCCCCACAAGUUUAAUAACCAUAAUAACAAGAUAAUAAUAAGAAGGUGCAAGAGAAUGGAUUAUAAUGCUGUGUUAUCCUCAGCUGAAGAGGCUCGAAGGGCUCACCAUUCCCUUUUUCACUAAGUAUCUAAUAAUAGCUUCCCUUAAAAAAAGGCAGUACUUUCCCAAAUACACAUAUGUAUAAAUACAGGACAAGAACAUAUUAAUAAUAAGUCUAAGCACUUGAAUAAUAUGCUGGCUACUUAAUACUGAUAUUUUUAUCCAGGGAUAACAACAGAGAAUAACAAUAAUAUGGCUUAAAGAAUUGCCAAGUUUUUUUUCCUCAUCAGAAUUAUGUACCAACUUCAUAUAAUAAUCUAUGUAGACAAUAUUUCCUUCUUAAUGUAAUUCAGUUGCAGACUUUUUACAGACCAAAGCAUAGUAAAAAAUCAACCCCCCC
Molecule: long non-coding RNA, 1373 nt
Filed under: Phocoena sinus (vaquita)
Lineage: Eukaryota; Metazoa; Chordata; Mammalia; Artiodactyla; Phocoenidae
Description: lncRNA (ENSPSNG00000022604.1)
Source: RNAcentral